AUUGAACGCUGGCGGCAGGCCUAACACAUGCAAGUCGAGCGGAGCGGCGGACGGGUGAGUAAUGCCUAGGUAUCUGCCUGGUCGUGGGGGAUAACGUCCGGAAACGGGCGCUAAUACCGCACACUCUCAGUUGAGCCUAGGGCGGAUUAGCUAGUUGGUGGGGUAAAGGCCUACCAAGGCGACGAUCCGUAACUGGUGUGAGUGGAUGAUCAGUCAAACUGGAACUGAGACACGGGCCAGACUCCGACGGGAGGCAGCAGGGGGGAAUAAUGGACAAUGGGCGAAAGCCUUAACCAGCCAUGCCGCGUGUGUGGAGAAGGGCUUCGGAUUGUAAAGCACUUUAAGUUGGGAGGCGUUACCAACAGAAUGAACACCGGCUAACUUCGUGCCAGCAGCCGCGGGAAUUC
RNAcentral lists this ribosomal RNA (407 nucleotides) under uncultured bacterium. RNAcentral describes it as "partial 16S ribosomal RNA". It matches the Rfam family "Bacterial small subunit ribosomal RNA", at positions 30 to 526 of the family's 1533-position model. The record is from RNAcentral.